CAGAGAUCAUGCCCUUAUGGGUAGACCUCCCACCCUGUGUUAUUUACCUCUGUUGCUUUGGCAGGCCGCCUAUAGGCUCUCGGCUUAUGCUGAGAUGUGCCUGCCAGAGGACAUCAAACUCUGUGUUUAGUGUUGUCUGAGUACUAUAUAAUAAAGUUA
This 159-nucleotide unclassified non-coding RNA is filed under the name uncultured fungus. RNAcentral describes it as "sequence contains ITS1, 5.8S rRNA gene". The record is from RNAcentral. Lineage: Eukaryota; Fungi.